CAAGUAGAGAAUCUAUAAACACUCCCACUGGACAUAUUCCAUCUUCAACACAUCUAGUUACUUCUUUAAUACUUUGAUUACUUUUUUUUUUCCUACUUAUUCUUGUCGUCAUAUUUUAACACAGGUCAAAGCAAUAAUUAUUGAGGAUAGAAUAGUGGUAUAUACAUAUUCAAAUUUGAAUAGAAAACCAGUUGUUCUAUCAUUCAAAGGGUACUCACCGAGAUCAAAUUUUUUUAUAUACUAACAUAUAUUAUAAGUUUAGGAUUCAUAUAAAACAUGUUCUUAUCUUAAGAUUCUUGUUUAUGAAAUUCUUUGCUUUUUCACUUCCUUGAUUUCCGGACCAUAUUAAUUUCCAACAACGAUUAACUUCAAAUAUUCAUGAAGCGAGUCUCUUCUAAAUCACACAUAUUUCCAUAAAAAAAAUACAAGUCAUUCACAACAGGUAGAGAGCAUAUAUAAUAAAACGAAGAACAUACACUGAAAUCCCCAUAUAAAUCAGCUUUAGGGUUGAAAGCAGUAAUGAUUAUCAAGGUUCAUAAUAUUCAAUUAAACACUCACGAGGGAGCUGGCCGUCCCAAAAUAACUUGAAUAAGUUGGCAGCAUGUUGGGGACAGCGAUUAGGAUCAAUGCGACAUAUUUCGAGCUGAGUUAAGGUUUGAUUACCCUUGAACCAAAUAUUCAAGGCUUCUACAUAAUCAGGGCUCAACCUACCAAUACCCCUAUAAGCGUCCUCUACCGAUUCGAUGCCGUAUCUACAAGCGUUGCCAACCUGCCAGUUGAUAUCCGACAAGAAGUCCUCCUCGCUGGGGCUAUCGGGCCAGAAGUCUUCACGUUCAACACGUGCGUAAUGCCUUAAGCAAUCCAAAUAAAAUUCUGUACCAGAUUUAAACUCAAAAUUAAAUGAUGGAUCGGAAUUGAAAUCUGAAGCAUCGCCAUCGCCAUGGUCAUGGCCGCCGAAAGACAGCAAUGAGAAGACGACGAAUGCGGCGAUCAGCAAUGAGAAAACCACCACGAAUGCGGCGAUCACGUUAAACCCCUUCAUUCCCAUGCCCUAACUACCGAUGCUUUUCUUUGGACUAAGUUUUUCUUUUUAUUCGUCUUCU
Salvia miltiorrhiza (redroot sage) is the source of this 1103-nucleotide long non-coding RNA. RefSeq lists it as uncharacterized. Lineage: Eukaryota; Viridiplantae; Streptophyta; Magnoliopsida; Lamiales; Lamiaceae. The record is from RefSeq and is a predicted model, not a curated record. The transcript has 2 exons.